GCGAGGGUAGCCCAGCCAGGUCAAAGGCGUUGGACUUAAGAUCCAAUAACGUAGGUUUUCGUGGGUUCGAAUCCCACCCCUCGCA
Molecule: transfer RNA, 85 nt
Filed under: Methanosarcinaceae archaeon
Lineage: Archaea; Methanobacteriati; Methanobacteriota; Methanomicrobia; Methanosarcinales; Methanosarcinaceae
Description: tRNA-Leu
Rfam family: tRNA
About the family: Transfer RNA (tRNA) molecules are approximately 80 nucleotides in length. Their secondary structure includes four short double-helical elements and three loops (D, anti-codon, and T loops).
Source: RNAcentral